GAUGAACGCUGGCGGCGUGCCUAAUACAUGCAAGUCGAGCGAACAGAUAAGGAGCUUGCGCCUUUGACGUUAGCGGCGGACGGGUGAGUAACACGUGGAUAACCUACCUAUAAGACUGGGAGAACUUCGGGAAACCGGAGCUAAUACCGGAUAACAUAUUGAACCGGAUGGUUCAAUAGUGAAAGGCGGCUUUGCUGUUACUUAUAGAUGGAUCCGCGCCGUAUUAGCUAGUUGGUAAGGUAACGGCUUACCAAGGCAACGAUACGUAGCCGACCUGAGAGGGUGAUCGGCCACACUGGAACUGAGACACGGUCCAGACUCCUACGGGAGGCAGCAGUAGGGAAUCUUCCGCAAAGGGCGAAAGCCUGACGGAGCCACGCCGCGUGAGUGAUGAAGGUCUUCGGAUCGUAAAACUCUUUUAUCAGGGAAGAACAAAUGUGUAAGUAACUGUGCACAUCUUGACGGUACCUGAUCAGAAAGCCACGGCUAACUACGUG
This 497-nucleotide ribosomal RNA is filed under the name uncultured bacterium. RNAcentral describes it as "partial 16S ribosomal RNA". It matches the Rfam family "Bacterial small subunit ribosomal RNA", at positions 28 to 507 of the family's 1533-position model. The record is from RNAcentral.